Molecule: long non-coding RNA, 8383 nt
Filed under: Lactuca sativa (garden lettuce)
Lineage: Eukaryota; Viridiplantae; Streptophyta; Magnoliopsida; Asterales; Asteraceae
Description: long non-coding RNA (LSAT_LNC005971)
Source: RNAcentral
AAGAAGAUAGUAAAGGUAAACCCACCCGGAAAAGAAUCAUUUAUGGUGUAUGGGGACAAACGCAGAGUGAAUUCUGGAAUCAUCUCCCUGAUGAAAGCCAGGAAAUGUUUGUCCAAAGGAUGUGCAUCAUACUUGGCAUUCGUAAUCGAUGCCAAGAAGGAGAAGAAAGAGGUGCAGAAUAUACCGGUUGUGUGUGAUUAUCCGGAAGUCUUUCCCGAAGAUCUUCCCGGAUUACCACCUGAUAGGCAAGUGGAGUUUCGUAUAGACUUGUUACCAGGAACAACACCGAUAGCAAAGGCACCUUACCGAUUAGCACCGACGGAGAUGAAGGAGCUCAUGACGCAACUUCAGGAGCUGUUGGACAACGGUUUUAUUCGACCUAGUUCAUCACCCUGGGGAGCUCCGGUGUUAUUCGUGAAGAAGAAGGACGGAAGUAUGAGAAUGUGUAUAGACUACCGAGAGCUGAAUAAGGCAACGGUGAAGAACAAGUAUCCAUUGCCGAGGAUUGAUGACCUAUUCGAUCAGCUGCAAGGUUCGAGCUACUUCUCAAAGAUCGAUCUUAGGUCAGGAUAUCAUCAGCUAAAGGUGAGAAAGCAGGAUAUUGAGAAGACUGCAUUCAGAACGAGAUAUGGACACUACGAGUUCUUGGUUAUGUCAUUCGGGCUAACCAAUGCUCCCGCAGCAUUCAUGGAUUUGAUGAAUAGGGUUUGUAAACCAUUCCUCGAUAAAUCCGUGAUAGUGUUCAUCGACGACAUUCUCAUCUACUCGAAAAGCCAAGAGGAGCAUGGCAAGCAUCUACGGGAAGUAUUAGAAGUGUUGAAGAAGGAGAAGCUUUUUGCAAAGUUCUCCAAAUGCGACUUUUGGAUACGGGAAGUCCAAUUCUUGGGUCAUGUUGUUAACCAGGAGGGAAUAAUGGUUGACCCCGCAAAGAUCGAGGCUGUAAUGAAGUGGGAACGUCCAAAGAGUCCCACGGAGAUUCGAAGCUUUCUAGGAUUAGCCGGAUAUUAUCGACGAUUUAUCCAAGGCUUUUCUUCGAUAGCUGCUCCAUUAACAGCUUUGACUCAUAAAGGAGCUACGUAUACGUGGAGUGAGAAACACGAUGAGGCAUUCGAGAAGCUAAAGAAGAAGUUAUGUGAAGCACCGAUACUUUCUCUACCCGAUGGAGUCGAAGAUUUCGCGGUUUAUAGUGACGCUUCUGGAGUCGGGUUGGGUUGUGUUCUGACCCAAAGAGAAAAGGUGAUAGCAUACGCAUCUCGACAAUUGAAAGAGCACGAAAAGAACUACCCCACUCAUGAUCUGGAGUUGGCAGCGGUAGUUUUUGCCUUAAAGAUAUGGAGGCAUUACCUCUACGGCACGAAGUGCAAGCUCUUCACUGAUCAUAAGAGUCUCCAGUAUCUCUUUAAUCAGAAGGAGUUGAACAUGAGGCAACGACGCUGGCUAGAACUUCUCAAGGACUACGACUGUGAGAUACUUUACCACCCAGGUAAAGCAAAUAUUGUUGCUGAUGCUCUCAGUCGGAAAGUCAAUCUGGAAAGGAAAAGGCCAAGAGCGUUAAGAAUUGAAGUCGUCUCGACGAUUGUGGAAAGUAUCAGGAAAGCUCAAGAAGAAGCUUUAGAGAAAAAUGACCGAAAGGAAGAACGUUUGGGAAGAACGUUAGUGUUUGGUACAAACAGUCGAGGACUGAAGGUAUUCCAAGAUCGAAUUUGGGUACCUAAGACGGGAGGAAUAAGAGAUCUUCUGAUGGAAGAAGCACACAAGACCAUGUACUCGAUUCAUCCCGGUAGCACUAAAAUGUAUAGGGACCUAAAACCCUACUACUGGUGGCCGACGAUGAAGCUCGAUGUUGCGAAGUAUGUGGCCGAGUGCGUAACAUGUGCGAGGGUUAAGGCACAACAUCAGAAACCGUAUGGGAGUUUAGAACCUUUACCUGUACCCAUGGGUAAAUGGGAAGACAUCACCAUGGAUUUUGUGACUAAACUGCCCAGGACGAAGAACGGUCACGACAUGAUUUGGGUAGUCGUGGAUCGUUUCACCAAGAGUGCACACUUCAUAGCAGCCAACGAGAAGUGGUCUAUGGAUAAGCUCGCAAAUGCUUACGUGAAGGAAAUUGUAAGACUUCACGGUGUCCCUCUUACGAUUGUAUCAGAUCGUGAUAGUCGUUUCACGUCAAGGUUUUGGAGGAGUCUACAAGAGGAGUUAGGUACAAAGUUGUGUUUGAGUACUGCUUAUCAUCCGCAAACUGAUGGUCAGAGCGAAAGAACGAUUCAGACGCUGGAAGAUAUGCUGAGAGCAUGUACCCUCGAAUUCCAAGGGAAUUGGGACGAGCACUUACCUCUGGUAGAAUUUUCCUACAACAAUAGUUUUCACUCGAGCAUCAAGAUGGCUCCUUAUCAAGCCUUGUAUGGGCAGAAGUGUCGUACGCCGUCUUGUUGGCUUGAAGCCGGAGAGAAGCAGUUUAUGGGCCCCGAGAUAGUCCAUGAGACUGCUGAGAAGUUGAAGGUGAUUAGGGAAAGGAUGUUAGCAGCCCAGGAUCGUCAGAAGAGCUAUGCUGACAAGAAAAGACGACCGAUAACUUUCGAAGUUGGGGAUUCCGUUUUGCUUAAAGUCUCACCGUGGAAGGGACUUAUACGAUUUGGGAAACGAGGAAAGUUGAGUCCAAGGUUUAUUGGACCGUUCAAAGUUCUUCAGAAGAUAGGGAACCAAGCUUACAAGCUGGAAUUGCCCGAAGAACUCAAUGGUAUUCAUAACACCUUCCAUGUGUGUUAUUUGAGGAAAUUCACGGGAGAUGUUCCCGACAUAAUUCCAAUCUCAGAGUUAAGGAUGGAUGAAAAUAAAAGGUUGAUCGAAGAGCCUGAGGCAAUUGUUGACCGUAAGACUAAGAAGUUACGACGCAAGAUGGUCGACUUGGUGCUAGUCCGAUGGAAACAUUCGAAUGGGCCGAAUCUCACUUGGGAAACAGAGGAUGACAUGAUGAGUCGCUAUCCACAUCUGUUUGCUGAUGCAUGAUUCCGGGACGGAAUCAUCCUAAGGGGGAGAGAAUUGUAACGCCCGGGUUUCAGGGCUAAGCAUUUUUGUCAAUGUAAUAGUCUAGGUCAACUCUUGUAACUCUUUUUGAAGUAAUAAAGAUGAAAUAUUUGAGUAUUAUGUGAAUUAUAUGUGUUUAUUAUUUAAUUAUAAAUGUAUAAUUAAUAAAGAAUAAAAAUGAGCGUCAAAAUUAAAGUGUGAGAUAAUCCCGAUAUCUCUACAUAAAGUUGUAGAAUAUGUCUCAAGGUUUCCGUGCAUAUAAGGAACGCCGAAAUCCGAGUUAUAACGAAGAAGUUAUGACCCGUCGAAGUUUCACGACAGAACCGGCACGAUACCGGGAAGCGUGAAUAGUGAAUUUACGAUAGAGCGAGAUUUAGCCUUAGUGAUCUAAACGAAAGUCGUAGAAUAUGUUAAACUAAGAACAUCGAUAAAAAGAACGCCCAAAUCUGACUUCGUAUGAAGAAGUUAUGAGAUUUUAAACAGACCAAUCCUGUCCCGGCUUGUUAAAAAUAUAACUUUAAAAAUAAAGUCAAAAUUAGCCGACGGAGUCUAAACGAAAGUUGUAGAGUACGUCUUCACCUACGCGUGGAUAUAAAGAACGUCAAAAACGGAGUUCGUAUGAACGAGUUACAAAUUAUAAUAGCAUAUUUACGUAUUAAAAUAAAGUAUAAAUCAUGUAUACGUACACAUAUAUAUACAUAUGUAUAUAUCAUUAGAAAGGUAUCGACGAUGCGGUCAUUAUAAGACUAAUGUUGAGUUCUUUCGACAUUAGUUUAGUACAAAUAUCAUUAAAUCCAUUUAUAAUAGUAUUAUAGAGGGGUGUUUAGUUGUUUAUAUAACUAAAAGGUCAUUAAGUAAUUAUGGAGGGUAGUUUUUGAAAAUUCAAUUAGUAUAAAUAAGAGCCUUGGGCUCUCAUAUUUCUUGCACCAUUCUCUUGAUUCAAGAGUCUUUCUCUCCUUAUCCCCCGAGCAUUUCGGUCCCUCGUGAUUCGACUUCUCUUUCUGUAGCUUAGUAUAGUAAGGUGAGCGCUGAAGCGCUGCACGAAUCUUUCUUAGAAAGAUUCAGCGACGAAGUUCUGCCCCUGCAGAGCCCGACUCCUAGCUAAAACCCCCUUGUAAGUAAGUUAUGCUUACCUUAUUUUAAUAUAGCUUAUAUUUAAAAUUAGUAUUGUUAUUAUGAACUUAUAAUAAAUAUUUGAGCUAUUAUUAUAACUUAUAUAAGUGUCGUUAUAAUAUUUUUUUUAACUACUCGCGGUACGGGGAAUCUGGUUUAAAGGGCCGCAUAGGGUUGUUGGAUUUCAGAAGUGCUAUAUGCCAAAAUGGUCCUGCCCUCCGGUGUUUUAUGUCUGGCCCCUGUCUGUACAUAGUGGUUGGAAAAUAUUGUUUAACGCUUAUAUAAUAAUAAUAAUACUAAGACUAAUAGUUGGUCACGGUAAAUAUUAGACUAAAAUUUAGCGAUAAUAAUGCUAGGUUUCGUCGAAGGAAAAUAGAAUCGUUAGAAGCAAGCGCUGCCCGAUUUUGGAAUCAUCACCUUAACAAGUGAGUGCAUAGUUACUUUCAACUUACACAUAGAUAUGAAGUAUUUUAUAUAAAUUACGUGCUAUGUGUGCAUAUUAUCUGAAUACUUGCUAUCUAUGCUAGAUGAACGUUGUUAUACAUGUUUUCAAUGAUUUAAACUGUAUAUGUAUUUUAUAUCUACGAAAAUGUUGGGGUAAAACAUGGGUAGAUGCAAUAGGUGAUGUGUGAUAAAAUGAUGAGAGGCCUCGAUGUUGAUGUUGUUGAUUCUGUCAUCUAGCGGAGUAUGGAUGACGACCACGGACUCUUCUAGACAGUCCAGUGGAACACUAGCAGGCUCGCAACCUGUAGGUGUUUGUGAACGAUAUGUUCACCGGUGUACUCCAUCCCCCACAUGGUUGCCUUUAGGACAUUUAUUGCUGAGGAAUCCCCUUAGCAGUAGUGUCCGUCCCGAUGAUGAUCCUUAGGCUAGGUCCCUUAUGAUAGGUGUUUAGGGACGUAAAGUGAGGAUAACGGGAACGGGUAAUCGGGUUAUUGUUGAUCGAUGAAAUUAAUAAACUUAUUUAUUGUGGGUUGAAAACCCUAUGUGCUCACCAGGCUCCCAAGCCUGACCCACUCAGUUUUAUGUAUUACAGGUAGUGGCGCAUGAGCAUAGGUGUGAUGUUUUGGACGAGGGAUUACGGAUAUAGGCCUGUAGAUAUGAAAUAAUGUAGUAAGGCUUAUAUUGUACUGUUUAUGCUUUUGAUCUGUACGAACAUGACAUCCCGAGUCUUUUAAUGAAAUACAUUUCUAUGGAAAUGCUUUUGAUAAAUCUUUAUCAUAUUUUUGUUUUGGGACAAAUUCCGCAACACUUUCAUUUAAAAUGUAACUCUGAUUUUUAAACAAAGCAUAAACAAACCGGUCUUUUCUGGCCGUGAUUUUGGGGAUGUCACAGUUGGUAUCAGAGCAUUAGUUUAAGCGAACUAGGAAUUUGUAGGAUUUCUAGACUUAAACUUAGAAUGCUAAGCGAUGAUUGUGAGGUGUGAGCACUAGCUUAUUUUAGGAAUUGUGCCUAAAAUGCUUUUAUGUGCUAAAUGCUUUGUGCAUAAUAUGCUGUUAAUUGUUCGGAUCUAUGGUCUGUUGCCGACCGGAUCUGGAAACCUUAUGUGUUUAGGAUUCUAAACGUACGACUACGAUAUUAGAACUAGCAUGUAAACGUUUCGGAGUGAUAAGGACGAUUUAAAACGUCUAUCCUAAAUAAAGAUCUAAAUUCACCUUAUUCGGUGUAUAGAUCAAGAUGGCAAGGACCCGUAGCGGAAACGUGAACGCAAAUGGAGGUAGGAACCAACCCCCAGUGGUUCAGCAAAUACCUGUUGUUGAAGAAGUUGCACCUGAGCCAGUCACCAUGGCUGGAGUUCAAGCCAUGAUUCAGGCUAUGCUAGCUGAACAAAGGGAAGAAAUGAGACGGAUGCUCCACGAAAAUAGGGACGAACCUACCAUACAUGUUGAACCGACGGAGCCAGUUCCCGAGCCAUCUGAGGAAGGGAACUAUAGCCGCCAAGUGAGUCAAGUAGGGACUCAAGGUGAGCAAAAGGAUGGCCCAGAAGGGAGAAACAACAAGGAUGGGCGGAUGUACAAAAAUUUCUUGGGUGCGAAACCACCAAGUCUCUCAGGAAGCCCAAAGCCUGUUGAGAUUAUGGACUGGAUCUCCGAGAUGGAGAUGGUGUUUGAGAGCUGCGACUGCAGCGAGAAGCAGAAGACUGUCUUCGCUGUGAGACAAUUGAAAACUGGAGUCUUGAGCUGGUGGAAGCUAUUGGCAGAUACAAUGCCACGGGGAGAAGCUCUGAAAAUGUCAUGGGAUGAGUUCUUGGAACAACUGAAGGCGCAGUACUGUUCAGAGAUAGACCUGAUUGAUCUGAACAAUGAGUUCCAAAAUUUGAAGAAGGGGAGAAUGAGCAUCGAUGACUAUGCUGCUGCAUUUACGGAAAAGAUGAAGUUGUUUCCAUACCUAGUGCCAACCGAACUUUCCAAAAUUGAGAAAUUCGCAAACGGACUGCCGGCUGACUUUGGCCCAACAGUCAAGAUGGCAACCACUCUGAAAUCAGCUGUUCGAGCAGCUAAGAACGUGGAGACCCAACAAAAGGAAAGAGGUCUGGAGAGGGCUGAGGUUGGUGAGAAACGGAAGUUCAAUGGAUCCUCGAAGUCCAACAAGAAGAGUAGAUUCUCGAAGUCUGGUUCGAGGGGAGGAGGAUCAGAAGCGAAGUGGUGUGACAAGUGCAAGAAGAAGCACUCUGGGAAGUGUGACGGAGGGGUCACUUGUUACAAGUGCGGAAAGCCUGGGCACUACGCCAAUGAAUGCACCCUCAACCAGAAAGCCUGUUAUGGGUGCAAUGAAGAAGGGCACAUUUUGAAGGACUGCCCGAAGAAGAAGGAGACAGGAAGACCCAACAUACCACCGAAGCCGAAGGCGAGAGCCUUCCAGAUGACGCUCGAGGCUGCAAAGGAGGCAGCAGACGUCGCUUCAGGUACCUUUCUUGUAAAUGGUUUGCCUGCAAAUAUACUAUUUGAUUCCGGAGCCAACUACUCCUUUGUGUCGCAUAAAUUUGGUGGGAAAUUAGCAUUGCCUGUAGAAAAACUAGAUAAUGCCCUGAUUGUAGAAGUUGCCAGUGGCAAAUUCGUACCUGUUAGUAAUCGUAUUAGGAACAUCGUCAUUGACCUAAACGGAAACGAAUUCCACGAAGAGCUAUUACCCAUAGAGUUAAACGGUUUCGACAUCGUUUUGGGUAUGGAUUGGCUUAGCGCCAACGAUGCUGAGAUUCAAUGCCGAAAGAAGAUAGUAAAGGUAAACCCACCCGGAAAAGAAUCAUUUAUGGUGUAUGGGGACAAACGCAGAGUGAAUUCUGGAAUCAUCUCCCUGAUGAAAGCCAGGAAAUGUUUGUCCAAAGGAUGUGCAUCAUACUUGGCAUUCGUAAUCGAUGCCAAGAAGGAGAAGAAAGAGGUGCAGAAUAUACCGGUUGUGUGCGAUUAUCCGGAAGUCUUUCCCGAAGAUCUUCCCGGAUUACCACCUGAUAGACAAGUGGAGUUUCGUAUAGACUUGUUACCAGGAACAACACCGAUAGCAAAGGCACCUUACCGAUUAGCACCGACGGAGAUGAAGGAGCUCAUGACGCAACUUCAGGAGCUGUUGGACAACGGUUUUAUUCGACCUAGUUCAUCACCCUGGGGAGCUCCGGUGUUAUUCGUGAAGAAGAAAGACGGAAGUAUGAGAAUGUGUAUAGACUACCGAGAGCUGAAUAAGGCAACGGUGAAGAACAAGUAUCCAUUGCCGAGGAUUGAUGACCUAUUCGAUCAGCUGCAAGGUUCGAGCUACUUCUCAAAGAUCGAUCUUAGGUCAGGAUAUCAUCAGCUAAAGGUGAGAAAGCAGGAUAUUGAGAAGACUGAUGUCCCAAUUUGCUAAAUAAAGUACACUUUUAUAAUAAAUAAAAUUAUUGACUAAUAACAAAUAUCUUUUGUGAAGAAUUACUAGGCAUACAAAAUAAGUGCUGAAGGUGUUUUCCAUGCAAUAUUAAGAAUAUUUUUUGAUUGAUUCAACAUGAAGUAUGUUCAUCUCAUCACUUCCUGAAGAUAAAUAACCACAAGUUUUAGGAACAGAGGGGUAUUUCUGGAAAUACAUAAACAGGGUCAAAGACUCAUAGCUAAAGCUACCUGUACACCAGCAUAUCAGUUCCAUCGAGGCAUAAUCGCCCAACACAAAAACCUUAUUUGAGAUUCAAUGGAACUAUAAUUGCACCUUUAAACUUUAACAAAAAAAAACUAAAUAAGAUCAUUAAAAGAAUGAAGUGUUUUAAAGUGUUAAGGGUAAAAAC